AUCCUACGGGAGGCAGCAGUGGGGGAUAUUGCACAAUGGGGGGAACCCUGAUGCAGCGACGCCGCGUGGGUGAAGAAGCGCCUCGGCGCGUAAAGCCCUGUCAGCAGGGAAGAAAAUGACGGUACCUGAAGAAGAAGCCCCGGCUAACUACGUGCCAGCAGCCGCGGUAAUACGUAGGGGGCAAGCGUUAUCCGGAUUUACUGGGUGUAAAGGGAGCGUAGGCGGCAAGGUAAGUAAGAUGUGAAAGCCCGCAGCUUAACUGCGAGGAUUGCAUUUUAAACUAUCUAGCUUGAGUACAGGAGAGG
Molecule: ribosomal RNA, 305 nt
Filed under: uncultured bacterium
Lineage: Bacteria
Description: bacterial SSU rRNA
Rfam family: Bacterial small subunit ribosomal RNA
Source: RNAcentral